Molecule: non-coding RNA, 2018 nt
Organism: Kogia breviceps (pygmy sperm whale)
Lineage: Eukaryota; Metazoa; Chordata; Mammalia; Artiodactyla; Physeteridae
Source: RefSeq, a predicted model, not a curated record
AGCAGAUUUGGUGUAUGGUGAGAACCAGCAUCCUGGCUUGCAGAUGGCUGUCUUCUUGCUGUGUCCUCACGUGGUGGAAAAAGGUCAGACCAAGAGCUGCAAAUGAAACAGAUAUCCAUGAGUUCGGGUGUUUAAGAAACAAGCUAGAAGAGUCUACCAAGAAGAUUCCUGGGGUACAAUGCCGAGUGCACCCCAACUAAAGUGCACAGAGAUUGCCCUCGCCAGAGUUAUCAUCAUUUUCAUCAUGGUCACCAUUUAUUGAAAGCUCGCUGUCUACUUGGCACUGCAUUAAGAGGAGGAAAAACUAUGAUGGUCAUAGAUGCAAGAACCAAACCAAACCUUGGAAGCACAUUUAUGGCCUCUGCUCACUCCAAGUCCUUGUCAUUCCAUUGGCUCAAGCAAGUUAUAUGGCGAAGUCCAACAUCCAUAAGUGACUGCUGGGAGCCCACGACUAGAACAGCCAUCAAGUGCAAAUGAAGGAACAGCUCAGCUGAUGUCAGAACGGAGUCUUUAAGGUCGUCUCUAUUACUUCCUCCAAGCACUUCACACCCAGCCUCCUGGAAGGGCUGCUCCAUCAGCCCAGCCCCUGAAAUCACGUUUGAUAAAGAGUGGACAUCGUGGAGGAAUAUGGCAGGUCGAGGAGUACGAAGCCAGUGUAGGAAACUGGAGGAAACUUAGCAAGGCCAGUGCGUUUGGAUUCUUCUCCAUGAUCCUUUGUCUUCAGAGAUGAGGAUGCCCCUUUCCUCGGGGUGCAGGCAGGCAGAGGCCAGGCGUCAGUUCAAGGGGAAAGGACAAGUUCCCUCAUCAUCCUGUUAUGCGGAGAAGUGUUUACUGCAGCAAAUAGCAAGUGCUCAGCUCAAUUCCACUGUUAGCCGCUUGACCCUCCUCUGACUGCCUCCUCCUGGGCCCCUUGUCCACAUGCCCCAGUCUACCGAGCUUCCUCCCGCUCCUCAAACCUGCCUCUGGGUCCUCCCACAUUCCAUCCCCUCUCCUUCUUCCCCUAGCUCACUCCUUCUCGUCAUUUAGGGCUCAGCUGGAGGGUGGCACCAUCAGGGAAGCCCUUCCUGACCAUCCCUGCAUGAGGCACUCCCACCAGGUAUUCCCAUACCCGUCCUGUCCUGUUAGAAUGCAUUUUUCUAGAGAAAGAGAGCUUGUAUGAGGAAUCUAAAAAGAAAUGAUACAAACGAACUUAUUUAUAAAACAGAAACAGACUACAGACUCACAGACUUGGAGAAGGAAUUUAUGGUUGGGGGGCGGGGCGCAUGGAGAAGGAUGGGGAGAAGGGAUAGUUAGAGAGUGUGGGACUGACAUGUACACACUGCUGUAUUUAAAAUGGAUAACCAACAAGGACGUACCGUAUAGCACAGGGAGCUCUGCUCAAUAUUAUGUGACAACCUAAAUGGGAAAAGAAUCUGAAAAAGAAUAGAUAUGUGUAUAUGUAUAACUGAAAUACUGUGUGGUACACCUGAAACUAUCACAACAUUGUUAAUCAACUAUACUCCAGUAUAAGAUAAAAAGUUUUAAAAAAAUGCUUUUACUCACAGGCUUAUUUUUCAAUUUCUGCUUCUAGAAUGAGGAACAUGUCCAUUGAGUUCUCCAAGGCCUUUACUGCUAGCACAGUGGCUGGUACAGAAAACUGCUCAAUACCUGUUUGUUGAAUGGAAAAAAAAACAUUAGCUGUUCUUUUUGAAGGCAAUUUACCAGUAAAGCUCCCAUGUCCUGAGGGGUUGGGAGGCCUAAAGCCUGGACAACUUGAAGCUCUCUGCUCUUCCCUUUAAAGAAGCAAGGAAACCCCUGAGCAGAGGACACAGACUCCCCCUCGCCCUGCCUUUCUGCAACUCUCCCCCAGGGUGCUUGCUGUCAGCAGAUUUGAUGAGGCCUAGGGGAACUAUGUGGAAAGAGAAAGAAAAAGAAAGAGACUCAAACCUAACUCUAUGAAGCUAAAAGGUCACCAGGGCCCAUUUCUCCCCUAAGGUUUCAGGCCUCCCUCCCUCCUGUCUGUGUUAAUGAGGCAGUUA